Molecule: non-coding RNA, 558 nt
Organism: Macaca mulatta (Rhesus monkey)
Lineage: Eukaryota; Metazoa; Chordata; Mammalia; Primates; Cercopithecidae
Source: RefSeq, a predicted model, not a curated record
CUGGGAUUACAGGCAUGAGCCACCGCACCCGGCCCAACCUGAUUUGACAUUUUACCUUCUUUGGGUUAUGUCCUCCUUCCUGGGUAGGAACUUGGACCUGCAGCCUCCCUCCUGCUAAAUGGACUGAUCCUCGCCCUCACCUGACUGUUCCACCCCCACACCUGUUGCCCCUCCUGGAAGCAGAAAUGGCUUUGAUGGAAGGUGAUUGGGCCGCUGUGAGAGGACUCCACAAGGCCUUCCUGAGAUGUUCUCUGGGGUCACCUGAUUGUGGAAAAAUUGAGUUUGAGCAAAACUGGCAUGGCCGUACUGGAUGGACCUCAGCAUGACCAGGGCAUAUUUGAGCUCAAAUCCACUGUGCCAAGGACACAUUCUGCCAAGGACCACCACCUCUUCCCACAACUGUGAGUGGGUUUAUGUCAUCACAGGAGGUGCAAAAACGUGUGGCGAGGUAAGUGAAUUGGGAUGUCGUUGGCUUCCCAAGCAAGAGGGCAGCUUUCCUGCCUGUAGAAGAACAGAAAACACAGCAGGAUAAUUAAAAGCAUGAGACUUUGGUUCCAA